RNAcentral lists this ribosomal RNA (468 nucleotides) under uncultured bacterium. RNAcentral's name for it is "partial 16S ribosomal RNA". It matches the Rfam family "Bacterial small subunit ribosomal RNA", at positions 28 to 507 of the family's 1533-position model. The record is from RNAcentral.
GACGAACGCUGGCGGCGUGCUUAACACAUGCAAGUCGAACGGAAAGGCCCUGCUUUUGUGGGGUGCUCGAGUGGCGAAAGGGUGAGUAACACGUGAGUAACCUGCCCUUGACUUUGGGAUAACUUCAGGAAACUGGGGCUAAUACCGGAUAGGAGCUCUUGCUGCAUGGUGGGGGUUGGAAAGUUUCGGCGGUUGGGGAUGGACUCGCGGCUUAUCAGCUUGUUGGUGGGGUAGUGGCUUACCAAGGCUUUGACGGGUAGCCGGCCUGAGAGGGUGACCGGCCACAUUGGGACUGAGAUACGGCCCAGACUCCUACGGGAGGCAGCAGUGGGGAAUAUUGCACGAUGGGCGGAAGCCUGAUGCAGCAACGCCGCGUGCGGGAUGACGGCCUUCGGGUUGUAAACCGCUUUCGCCUGUGACGAAGCGUGAGUGACGGUAAUGGGUAAAGAAGCACCGGCUAACUACGUG